This 70-nucleotide transfer RNA is filed under the name Geomydoecus aurei. RNAcentral describes it as "tRNA-Gly". Lineage: Eukaryota; Metazoa; Arthropoda; Insecta; Psocodea; Trichodectidae. The record is from RNAcentral.
ACUUCCAGAUAACGGCAUGUUUAGUUGAUUUCCAUUCAAUUGGCCCUAUGAUUGAAUAUAGGUGGAAGAA